This 253-nucleotide ribosomal RNA is filed under the name uncultured bacterium. RNAcentral's name for it is "partial 16S ribosomal RNA". It matches the Rfam family "Bacterial small subunit ribosomal RNA", at positions 524 to 776 of the family's 1533-position model. The record is from RNAcentral.
UACAGAGGUCUCAAGCGUUGUUCGGAUUCAUUGGGCGUAAAGGGUGCGUAGGCGGCGCGGUAAGUCGGGUGUGAAAUCUCGGGGCUUAACUCCGAAACUGCAUUCGAUACUGCCGUGCUUGAGGACUGGAGAGGAGACUGGAAUUUACGGUGUAGCGGUGAAAUGCGUAGAUAUCCGGAGGAACACCGGUGGCGAAGGCGGCUUCCUGGACCGACACUGACGCUGAGGCGCGAAAGCCAGGGGAGCAAACGGG